This 738-nucleotide ribosomal RNA is filed under the name Triticum aestivum (bread wheat). Its description in RNAcentral is "partial small subunit ribosomal RNA". The record is from RNAcentral. Lineage: Eukaryota; Viridiplantae; Streptophyta; Magnoliopsida; Poales; Poaceae.
AUGGCGCUUGCAUCCGGGUUCUGCCCGCCGCCGUCAUACACCCCGGGUGCGUCCCAGCGCGCCCCCUUCUCCCUGGGCUUCAGCGUCGGCGGCGAGUGCUGCAACCCGUCGUUUGCCUACUACGACUACGAGGAGUACGCCCCAUCGAGCCCUUCGCCGCUCGCGAGCUCCAAGGACUACUACACUCCAUCGAGCCCUGACUACAGUCCGGCGAGCCCUGACUACACUCCGGCGAGCCCCGACUACACGCCGGCGAGCCCGGACUACACUCCCGCGAGCCCCGACUACACUCCGGCAAGCCCUUCGCCGUCGCUCGAGUACACUCCGUCCAGCCCUUUUCGGCUCGCUUUCAUGAUGCCGUCUCCUCCGCGCGGCGCGUCACCAGAGUACACGCCCCUGACGCCGUCAGAGCACGCUGCUUCAUCACCUUACUAUACUCCGUCGAGUCCUCCCGGUCCCGGGCACGCUUCUUCGCCGGAUUACACGCCCAGCACGCCGCCUCCGUCCCCACUGGUGGUGUCUGACGCCGAGUCGUGCGCGUCGCCGUAUUACACACCGUCAACUCCUUCCAGGAGCGUCGAGUCGCCGGACUACACGCACAGCACGCCGCCUCCAUCGCCUCUGGCGUCAGAAGCAGAGUCCUUCACGUCUACAGCGCGCUGCCGCCACCAUCCGUACCAGAGGAGCGGCGCCGGCCGGAUCAGCCGCGGCGGACGUCAGCGAGCCUGGGGAUAUUGA